This 328-nucleotide ribosomal RNA is filed under the name uncultured Glissomonadida. RNAcentral's name for it is "SSU rRNA". The stretch from base 53 to 328 matches the Rfam family "Eukaryotic small subunit ribosomal RNA", at positions 678 to 955 of the family's 1831-position model. The record is from RNAcentral. Lineage: Eukaryota; Cercozoa; Glissomonadida.
GAUUUCUGACGAAACUGCUAGCUGGCCCGCCACGCAAGUGUGUGAGUGCCGGCUUGGCGUUUGUCAUCCGUUCGAAUGAUAUGCGUGCUGCCCUUCACUGGGUUGGCGCUGCAUGUUUUCGAUCUUUUACUUUGAAAAAAUUAGAGUGUUUAAAGCAGGCUUACGCUAUGAAUACAUUAGCAUGGAAUAAUAAUAUAGGACUUUGGUUCUAUUUUGUUGGUUUCUAGGACUGAAGUAAUGAUUGAUAGGGAUAGUUGGGGGUGCUAGUAUUCAGUGGCCAGAGGUGAAAUUCUUGGAUUCACUGAAGACUAACUACUGCGAAAGCAUU